Molecule: ribosomal RNA, 509 nt
Filed under: Entamoeba moshkovskii
Lineage: Eukaryota; Evosea; Mastigamoebida; Endamoebidae
Description: bacterial SSU rRNA
Rfam family: Eukaryotic small subunit ribosomal RNA
Source: RNAcentral
GUCCUUUAAUCAAGAACGAAAGUUAGGGGAUCGAAGACGAUCAGAUACCGUCGUAGUCCUAACUAUAAACGAUGUCAACCAAGGAUUGGAUGAAAUAAAGAAAUUCGCGGAUGAAGAAACAUUGUUUCGGAAACCAAGAGUUUCACAACUACCUUGUUCAGAACUUAAAGAGAAAUCUCGAGUUUAUGGACUUCAGGGGGAGUAUGGUCACAAGGCUGAAACUUAAAGGAAUUGACGGAAGGGCACACCAGGAGUGGAGCCUGCGGCUUAAUUUGACUCAACACGGGAAAACUUACCAAGACCGAACAGUAGAAGGAAUGACAGAUUAAGAGUUCUUUCAUGAUUUAUUGGGUAGUGGUGCAUGGCCGUUCUUAGUUGGUGGAGUGAUUUGUCAGGUUAAUUCCGGUAACGAACGAGACUGAAACCUAUUAAUUAGUUUCCUGCCUAUACGACAGGAAUCUCCGCAAGGUCAGGUGCCUCGGUACCACUUCUUAAAGGGACACAUUUCA